UCUGUCCAUUCAGUGCUUCCAUCCCUCCCUAUCUAAGCAGUGUAACGCUGGGCUCUCUGACAGGAGCAAGCUCGAGCCAAGCAAGAGAUUCUACUACACUGCAGAGAAGACUUCAAACUUUUGCCCAAGGAAUAUUACUUCAGUCUGCUUGUUCCUCUAUUUCUAUGGAUGACAGGUAGCAGCUGCCACACUUCAGUCUUUGUUUUUGUUUCAUUCGACUGGAAACAUAUUGGAGUGUUACUGGAAAUCUAUACAAACAUUAGGGCUUCAGGAGUGAAUGCAUGUUCAUCCUCUUUUUCCUCACUUCAUGUGAGGAAAAGAACUGAAGGAAUCUGUGGCGUCAAGCUGUAUUGGAUCGAGCUUGUUCGGAGAGUGUUUUAUUCUAAACACGGGGAAAUGGACUGACUCACUGAACUCCUCUGGAUGUUGGAGUUUGAAAAGCACUCUCAUGAGAUUUUAGUCCUGCAUAAAUAACAUUCCUUUGACUCAUCAAGACACACAUUUCCAGACUAUUUGUUUGUUUUCCAUAUUUGCUUUUUCUUUUGAACACUUUUGUUUCUAGGAGCUGUGGACUGAUUGUUUAUUGCCAUAAGAGGUGGUGGAUUUCUUGAGCUGGCUCUUCCUUUCUCUCUCUCUCUCCUCUCUCCCUCUCUCUCUCUUUGAGAGUCUGGCAGGUCUCCUUCAGCAGAAUACCUGACAUUGUGGCUGUGUGUAAAGGAGGUAGAAUCCCCAAGAUUGAACCUAUCCACACUCCAGAAAUUUGUGUUUGAAACCUUUAAGAAGACAAGCUCUUAAUUUGACCCCACAACCAGGAUUUUCUAAGACCAGGAGCGCCAGGAGUUAGGAUGGAGAUUCUGGGCUUCUCCCUCCACCAGCAGAGCCUCUGGAGCUGUGGCGACGGUCUUCAGCAGAUGCACAGAUGCAGCAACAGAAGCUCGCUGGUCCUCAGGGCUGAUUCAGACCAGUGACUUGGACUGCUUGAUUACGGAGCGGAAUUUAGAGUUGCUACUGUUCUCUACGCUUGCCUUGCGGAGGACGGAGGAGCAACUGCCAUACUGAUCCCAUGCAGUUCUCACCUGGAGGUCAGGCAAAGAGUUAGACACGCAGACAAGUCUGGAUAAGCCGGCAAACGUGUCAAUGCUCCAACUCAUUCUAAGAUGAAGUUAUGGAAGUGUGCCGCCAUCGCUUUGACACUCUUUGGUGCAGCACUGUCCCUCUUCCUCACUAGAAACAUGGUUCCCACAUCUCUGCGUCACCUCCCCUCCUGGGACACGUCACCGUUGCGGACGCCCUCGUCCUCCAACUCCUCCUCUUCGGCGCUGAUCGGACAUCCUCGCAAAGUACGGUCAACAGAAGGCAUCCGCGACAUUUUGACAGAAUUCAUGCACAUGUUCCAGAGCUUCACAGAAGGAGACCUGAAGGAGGUGAUCGGGAUUUUGGCAGAAAAAAAAGCACGUCAGGAGGCCAGGCAGAGCAAAAGGACUAAACGGGCUAAGAAAGCCUCAAAACCUUGUUCCCUUAGACGGGUGGAAGUGACAAUCAGUGAGCUGGGUCUGGGUUACGAAAGUGAUGAGACGCUGCUCUUCAAGUACUGCAGUGGGAGUUGUAUAGCUAGCCGCCGAAGCUAUGACUUGAUACUAAAGAAAUGGACAAGGAAAGGGAUCUCUAAGAGGGAGAGGGGGCCCUGUUGCCGGCCCACUAAUUAUGAUAAAAUUUCCUUCCUUGACAAUAGUAACAAAUACAAGUCACUCCAAGAGUUCUCGGCUCUGGGAUGUCAUUGUGUAUAACACCCCAGGAGCAGCCAUCUGACUUCCCAGAUCCUGAACAUGAGAAACGCAACGACUACUGCUAUGAUAACAAAAACAGGAGUACUCAAGAAUUGAUCCAUAUGGUACAAUGCCAGGGAAUACAGACUUUUGAAACUAUCUUCUACAACUAUUAAUCUUGUGUUUGAUUUCAAAAGUCAAAAGCAAAUUAUGUUUUGCUUUCUUUGCCUUUCAUGGGACAUGUGUCAGUCAGUUGUGAUGUAAUAUAUUGUAUAAUACAUCAAAGGGCAAUCUUGUUUGUUGAUUGUGGACUACGGCUCCACCACUUAUUCAAAAGAUCAACUGAGGUAUAGCGAUUGCAUGCACCAUUUUGAGUCAGGAUCUGAUACCAAUCUUUAAGAGGCCUGUUUGUAUUCAGAAGUAAGUGUGUAGAAGUGUGUACAAGCAAAACAUUAGAACCACAUAGUGAAUGCCAAGGAUGACAGUACACAAAAAGAUGACACGAGUAUGAUCAACUUCUUUAACAACUUCUCGAUCUGCACCACUGUUACAGCAUGAUGUUUCACUAUGGCAAGACUUGGAACAGCAAACACAGUAGAAGAGGAAAAACAAUAGACUUGGAGUAACAUGUUUAGCAGGCUUUGCGCAUUGUAUGAUGUGUGCAUUUAUUCAAAUCAAAGGACAUUUAUUAAAUAAUUCAAUCUCUAGCCUUCAUUAGUAACCAAGAAAAUCUACCUCAUUUAUGUUGAACAAUAUUGGACAACACCCAAUUUAAAAGAGCACUUACAUGUUCUUCUGCUGCUUCCUCUCAAUUUGUCACUAGAACCGGACAGAAAGGAGAUAUUUCUGUAAUACUGUAGACAAUAGUAAACACAUAAAUGACCUCUGUUGGCUUAAGAAGAUGCAGGGUAAAAAAUAACUACAGCCACAUGCUUGUUGAAUGCUUGUUAAAUGCAGACUGUAUGGGUGAUUUAGGUUUAAUGACAGCAGCUUGUUAAUCAACUGGAAUGGCUGUAGCUUUAUAAGCCUGUUCCCGGAAAGAACAAUCCAACAGAAAAUCUAAACCAAAAAAAAAGCUUUUACAGCAAGAGUACUGUGAGCUCAUCAAAUUUAUUUGUGAUGAAAAUCCAAUAACGCAGUCUUGUUUGAUAAUCUAGGAGGGGUGAUACUGAGCGAUGCAUUAAAUGUCUGACUUCUGCAUUGUAAAUGUGCGAGAGGGAUUGUGCUUCAGUCUUAACCUGAGUUAGCCUCUGCAAAUCCAUACCAUUUGUUCAAAUCCUAUAAUAGACUACCCUAAUCCACUUACCUUCUUUAUAACUGACUUGGGCGAAAGCACAGAGUGCAAACGAGAAUUGCAAGCCAUCAUGCAGCACUUACAUCUAUUUUUAGUCACUAGAUGAUCAGAAAACACUGGAGAUGUAUACCUUUGGAUUUAACCAUACCUAAGAUGUGAUUCAUUAAACAGUGUUAUGGUCUGGAAACAAAAUGGAAAGUUCUGGUCACAUAUACACCAUAACACUUAAAUUAUAAUAACGGACCUUGAGAAAGUUCAAGAGCAAGACAAAAAAAGGACACUAGUUCACAUGGGGCUGCAUUAAAAUAGUAACUUCAUCCGAAUUAGACAUUAGAGUAUCUACAAGUGAAAGGUAGAGUAAGGUUUAAGGUGAAUGGUCUGAAACCUGUGGUGAUACCUAUAAGGUUAAGACCAAUAAAAUAAUUAGAGCAGAAAGGUAAUUUAAGGCCCAUGCUGGUGUUAAGCCAAGAAAACAGUACUCCCAGUUCUGGAACAUACUACUCUCAAGUCCAAAAUGUGCUAAAUAAAAGUAUUCCACAAUUAGUACAAAGACUGUAAUAAUCCAGGUUAGCUGUAGAUGCUGCUAGAUUGAGGCUAAUUAUGCCUAGAGCUUUUCCAACUUCAGGUGGCAUGAUGCUAACAUAGUGAGAAAUUUUUUUAGGCCAAAUUAACUGGCUUGAGACUUUGCAUUGCAUGUAGACAAAGGAGCACAACUCUUGCAUGUUACAAAUGCUCCUUGUUUUUGAUGACAUCUCAAUCCAAUAAUUAAGUAUAUUUGAAGGACCGAUAAUAUCACCAAUUAAUGUUUUGCCUAUUCCAGUGGAUUAUGAUUUCAAAGAGCAAGCGGACAACAAAUUGCUGUCUCAAUGUUGAUGGUAAAUGUAACUUUCAUUAUGUAUUUUCUUGCUAUAUAUGUUCAUAACCCCUAUAUUUGCCAUUAUGAUGUACUAAGACUAUUCAGCGUUUUAAUAUAUCUAUGGGGUAGAAUUCCCUCAGGUUUCCUUUAUUUUUCCUCUUUUGGCCUCCCUUGAAAUGUAUUUUCAAAAUGGGAGGAAACAGUUUGGGUUAUGACAAACAACCACCUUCAGCUCUGGCACUGUUGGACUACACUGACCAACUGCAGUAAAGUUGAUGCAAUGCAUCUGUAUAAUAACAAAAUGUAUAUUUAUUGGAGAGUAAGUUAUGGUAUUUAUUUAGAUAGCAUCGUCAAAAAAGAGGAACAUGUUUAUUUAUUGAAAUAUUGGUGCCAAAGUGGACUUCACAUGUAUAACAUUCUACAUAUUCCAACUGUUAAA
Esox lucius (northern pike) is the source of this 4355-nucleotide RNA transcript. It is a transcript of the gene named neurturin, with no coding region annotated. The record is from RefSeq and is a predicted model, not a curated record. The transcript has 3 exons. Lineage: Eukaryota; Metazoa; Chordata; Actinopteri; Esociformes; Esocidae.